AAACCAUGUAUUAAGCAUUUUUUAUUAACUCUUUGAAUCGCUCCCAUCCUUCAAAUAAUGUUUCAUCCUCAAAUUUUCAAAAGGACAUAAUAUCGUUCCUCAGUUU
Molecule: non-coding RNA, 106 nt
Organism: Gossypium raimondii (Peruvian cotton)
Lineage: Eukaryota; Viridiplantae; Streptophyta; Magnoliopsida; Malvales; Malvaceae
Source: Rfam